GAUGAACGCUGGCGGCGUGCCUAAUACAUGCAAGUCGAGCGAACAGACGAGGAGCUUGCUCCUCUGAUGUUAGCGGCGGACGGGUGAGUAACACGUGGAUAACCUACCUAUAAGACUGGGAUAACUUCGGGAAACCGGAGCUAAUACCGGAUAACAUGUUGAACCGCAUGGUUCAACAGCGAAAGACGGUCUUGCUGUCACUUAUAGAUGGAUCCGCGCCGCAUUAGCUAGUUGGUAAGGUAACGGCUUACCAAGGCAACGAUGCGUAGCCGACCUGAGAGGGUGAUCGGCCACACUGGAACUGAGACACGGUCCAGACUCCUACGGGAGGCAGCAGUAGGGAAUCUUCCGCAAUGGGCGAAAGCCUGACGGAGCAACGCCGCGUGAGUGAAGAAGGUCUUCGGAUCGUAAAACUCUGUUAUUAGGGAAGAACAAAUGUGUAAGUAACUAUGCACGUCUUGACGGUACCUAAUCAGAAAGCCACGGCUAACUACGUG
Molecule: ribosomal RNA, 497 nt
Filed under: uncultured bacterium
Lineage: Bacteria
Description: partial 16S ribosomal RNA
Rfam family: Bacterial small subunit ribosomal RNA
Source: RNAcentral